UGGGGUGUAGCUCAAUCGGGAGAGCAGCGGCCUUUGAAGCCGCCGGUUGCAGGUUCGAGGCCUGCCGCCCCUGCCA
RNAcentral lists this transfer RNA (76 nucleotides) under Pelomonas sp. HMWF004. RNAcentral's name for it is "tRNA-Gln". It matches the Rfam family "tRNA". From Rfam's summary of the family: Transfer RNA (tRNA) molecules are approximately 80 nucleotides in length. Their secondary structure includes four short double-helical elements and three loops (D, anti-codon, and T loops). The record is from RNAcentral. Lineage: Bacteria; Pseudomonadati; Pseudomonadota; Betaproteobacteria; Burkholderiales; Sphaerotilaceae.